Labrus bergylta (ballan wrasse) is the source of this 4794-nucleotide RNA transcript. It is a transcript of the gene named BCL2 associated athanogene 6, like, with no coding region annotated. Lineage: Eukaryota; Metazoa; Chordata; Actinopteri; Labriformes; Labridae. The record is from RefSeq and is a predicted model, not a curated record.
GUAUGUCGUGACGUCACGCGGGGGCCUGUCUGUGACGUCGCGUUUGGGUAAAUCAAAGCUAGUUGCGAAGCUAGCGGUCGCGCUCAUUCAUUUAAACAAGAGUUUCCGUUAAAUCAAACCGGCCGGGGUUGUGGGGUGACCCGUGGGCACGCGUGGACCUCUAUCCGGAUCCACACCGACCGUGUAGGAACGAUCUAACCCGGGAUAGAUCUGAUAAUUUAGCUCUGUUAGCCUCCCGGUACCUGGGAUCAGCUAACUCAGCUGGCUAACAAGCUAACAACAACAACAUUGGUGUGACGCUGUCAGUUAGCAGGUGAACAUGGCGGAGUCCAGCGGGCUGAUCGAGGUCACGGUGAAGACUCUGGACUCUCAGAGCCGGAGCUACAGAGUGUCAGGAGAGCUCACAGUGAAGCAGUUUAAGGAGCACAUAGCUGCAUCAGUGGAGAUCCCUGUGGACAAACAGAGGCUCAUCUAUCAGGGCCGAGUGCUGCAGGAUGAACGCACCCUCACCGAGUACAAUGUUGACGGGAAGGUGAUCCACCUGGUGGAGCGGGCCCCCCCUCAGGCAUCCAUGACCGGUUCAGGGGGGGCAGGUGUUUCCUCCGGGGGAGAAGAGGGUGGAGUCAGCAUGAGCAGCCACGCCUCCACCUCCUCGCAGCAUGCACCACAUGACCGCAACGGCAACAGCUACGUCAUGCUGGGGACUUUCAACCUGCCCGUUAACAUCAUGGACCCCCAGCAGCUACAGAUGUCGAUGCAGCAGAUGAUGUCUGGAGUCGGUGAAGCUGGAAGGAACACCCGAGUCAGCAGCAGCUCCGGGAGUAACGGCUCAGUGGACGUGCAGAUUAACGUGGACCCGGCGGUGCAGAGUGAGUCCAGGAUGAGGCUGCAGCUGGCUGAGAACCUGCUGAGAGAUGCCUGCUCCCUGAUCCACAGGCUGGAGGGAGUUUCCAGUGAUUCACAGCCAGACGUCCCUCCGUCCUCUUCCUCACCGCCUCCAUCCUCCUCCUCUUCCUCUCCUGAUGGAGGAGCUGCAGCCGCUCAGCCCACGGACACCAGCUCUGCUCCUUCCUCCUCCACCUCCACGCAGACUGAGGGAGCGGCAGGCAGCAGCAGCAGGGGGUCCAGCCACCCGAGCCCUGCAGAGUUUGUGGAGGUGCUGUCAGAGGUGAGGAGGGUGGAGGAGCGGUUACGGCCCUUCAUAGAGAGAACACACUCCAUCCUGGGAGCAGCAACAUCUGCAGACUACAACAACAACACUCAGGAGAGGGAGGAGGAUCAGCGCGUGCUCAACCUGGUUGCCGAUGCCCUGCGUCUCCUUGGCAACACCUUGGUCGUCCUGGGCGACCUGCGCUGCAACCUGGCGAGCUCUCCUCCUCGCCACCUGUACGUGAUCCGACCGAUCACCCACUACUCCCCGCCGGUGCUGGUCCAGACCGGUCUACCUCACGUCCCCCUCCCAAUUAAUUUGGGUACGACCGUCACCAUGACGUCCAAUGGCAGACAGGCAGCUGAAGGACCACCUUCCCACGCUGCCGGCCAAUCGGAUCAGCAGGCUGCGGGCCAGGCCGCGCCUCCUCCGUCUAAUGUGACCAAUCCUCAAGCAGGAGCUGGAGGACCCCGAGUGAUCCGGAUCACCCACCAGACCAUGGAGCCUGUGGUGAUGAUGCAGAUGAACAUCGACGGUGAGUCAGCUGCUUCCUCUCAGGCUGCAGGUCAGACUCAUGCUGCAGGUACAGCACAGACAGGUCUCCCCCCUGAGUUCAUGCAGGCCAUCGUGCAUCAGAUCUCCCAGCAGGCAGCUGUCAUGGCUGCUGCAGCCUCGGGGGGAGCCCCCCAACAGGUCACACCUGGAUCAGCACCCAGCACUGAGGGCAUCAACCCGUCACAGCUCCCCCACCCAGCCCAGGCCAGGGUGGUCAUCACCAGACCCUCCUUCUCCCCCCGUGUCCCCCCACCUGUUGGAACCAGAGGAGCCACAAUCAACCUGAGAGCCACAGUGCCCCCUGCUGGCCUGCAGCACGGACAGGCUCCUCCUCUUCCUCCCUCCUCCCUCACUCAGAUGAUCAGUGGUCUGGUGGGACAGCUGCUGACUCCGGGUCACACAGGUGACCACAUGCCCUCCUCCUCUGACUCCUCCACGUCUCCUAACACCUCCUCUCAGACCUCCACACACACCACCAGCACCACCUCCACCGCGCAGCCAGCGGAGGCCUCUGCUGAGGGGAACCUGGCCCAGCUCCUGGGCUCUCUGCUGGGGGGGUCGGCAGGAGGAGGAGGGGGGGUCCCAGGGUCAGGACAGGCCCCCUCCAUCACUGUGACUCUGCCAGGGGGACCGGGCUUCUUCCAGGGUCUGUUGGACUACAACCAGCCAUCUGUCAGUGCUCCCGGACCCCCGCCCCCUUCUCAGUCUGUUGGCCCCGACCCCACUCCGCCUGCCAGCGGUUCAGAGUCUCUGAGCCCCGAGCUGUUCACGGGCAUCGUGCAGGGCGUCCUGUCCACCAUGAUGAGCUCUCUGGGAGCUCAGCAGGGGAGCGGAGAGAGCAUCGCCCAGUUCAUCCAGAGACUGUCCCAGACCAGCAACCUGUUCACCCCGGGCUCCGGGGACGCCGUGGGGUUCUUCGGGGACUUGCUGUCUCUGGUGUGUCAGAGGUUCUCCAUGGUGGACAUGGUUCUGCUGCUGCACGGGAACGCUCAGCCUCUGACCCGCAUCCAACCCGAGCUCAGAGACUUCUUCACCGAGCACUACCUGCAGGGCCGAGAGCCCACGCAGAGCAACAUUAAUGCAGCAGCCGAGGAGCUCAUUAACGGCCUGGAGGAAUACAUCACUGACAGCUUUUCCUCAGUUACAGUCAGAGAGGGGGUGGACAUCGUGCAGACCAACCUGUCGUUCCUCAGACUGAAGUUCACUCAGAUGGCGUCUCACAUCCUGCACUGCUCAGAUCACACGUUCGGGCCCCGCCUCCUGCUGCUGUGCACUCAGGGUCUGUUUGAGUGUUUGGCUCUGAACCUGUUCUGCCUGAGAGGAGAGCAGAGAGCGCUGACUGCUGUCAUCAACCACCGCAUCAGGAGGAUGUCUGCAGAGGUGAAUCCCAGUUUGGUGAACUGGCUCACCAGUAUGAUGUCUAUGAGGCUUCAUGUGAUUCUGGAUCACAACCCGGUCACUGAGGACCAGAUCCAGCACUACGUGAUCUACACACAGGUGAACCAGAGGACUGAGGCGGAGGUGGGCCCCCCCUCACAGAGUCUGAAUGUGGAGAUGGAGGAGAGUAUGUCCCCCUCAGAGGAGGGAGGAGAGAGAGAAGCGCUUUCAUCAGACCCUCAGUGUCAUGAAGCGGCCGUCCCAGCCCAGGAGGGGGAGGAGGAGAGGGAGGUGGUGGAGACAUGGGCAGCAGCGGUCCCACCUGAGUGGGUUCCCAUCAUCAGACAUGACAUGCUGUCUCAGAGGAAGAUCAAAGCCCAGCCCCCCCUCUCUGACGCCUACCUGCAUGGCAUGCCAGCCAAGAGGAGGAAGACGAGUCAGAGUGACGGCCCUCAGCUGUCUCUGUCGGACGCUGUGAGCCGAGCUGCUCGAGCUGCCGGAGCGCUUCCUGUCACCCCCCCGCACAGCCUGCAGGGGGAGCUGGAGAGCCCUGAGCUGCAGGAAGAGUACACCCAACAGGUGAGGAGUGACAUUAGUGAGCGAGUUAGAGAUGAUCCGGACUACAACUCCCAGAGGUUCCCGAACACACAAAGAGCUUUCUCUAUCGAGGACUCGUAGUCCUCCACACACCUGAUCCGCAGACCUGACGCACAGAGAAACAAGUCCAAGAUCUGAACUCUACUAAUAAUCCCAACCUGCAGACUGCGGACCCCUCUGGAUCAUCCCUCGGCUCCUAGACUCUGACGACGGUCUCUGUGAUGAUUCAGAGAAAUAAUCUCUGAGAAUAAAAAAGCAGCAGCAGAGGAGGAUAAAUUGAAUCUGAGGGUCUGAUCCUCAGCCGGCCUGAAGAAGUCUGAUCCUCCUCAGAUCCAGAAUCGUCAGAGGACCAGGUCCACAGGACUGAAGCAGGCCCAGUCACAAAACUGUGAGAUAUUGCAGCUCUACAUGUGGAGAUGAAGCCACACUGAUUGGUACAGGAUGAUGACGACACACACACACACACACACGGCUCUGAUGUGUGACCAUAGACUGUUUAUACAAACGGACAGCGUGCCUCGGCCUCCUCCUGGUAAGCAGGAUGAAGCCAGAAUAUCCCAGAGACCCGGAAAGUUCAGAGACUCUCGCCGUUUCUGCUGAUAAUCUGGUGCACACUGUGGCGCAGACGCGGCAAUUGUGAACAGGCCGGUCACUCACAGGUUUUUGACCGUUUUAGAGAAUCAAAUAACGUCUCAGAGAAAUAUGACUUGAACACAAAACAGCGUGGUAACUAUGAUUCAAAAAACAUUAUCUGGAGUGCAUUUUGAUCUAGUAUUUGAUUCAGGUCUUAUUUGUGAACGUGGAGGAGCCGGGGUUUAUCUACUGCAGCCAAUCAGCAGGCUUCACUCCCAGGCGGCUGUCCCUCCGUCCAUCUGAAUAGACAGUCUACAUGUGUGACAGGUACGGCAUGCUUAUUGCUCUGUUUGAAGGAGAACUACACAUUAAGAAGCCUCAGUAUGUACAGCUGCUCAUCCGGGAUAAAUUAAAGGUUCAUGUAUGUUCAGGCAAACAGGACGUCAUGUCAGGUUCAGGUGAUCGGGUACAGUCUGAGGAUCAUCACACUGCGGAGGCUGUGAGUAUCUGUACAGUUUGUGUGGAUUAAAUACUAAAGAGUC